GUAACAAUUCUGCAUCCACCCAAACCUCCUAGCUGCUUCUUGGUGGUAGGCCGUCUGAGGGAACCAAUUGGAUCCAAAUUUAUUUUGCUAACCAUCUCAGGGCAGCUGCACCCUGGGGCCAGGCAGGCCUCCUAUGGCACACUCAGGCCCAGCGGUGAGUGGGGACAGAUGGAAGCUGCACUGGGAAGCUAUGACGGUCACCGGGAGACUGAGUUAGAGGAACUCUUAAGAAGGUAGGUCGUUCGCUUGGCUCAAGCUGGGGGAAUGAGGCCAGUUGAGCGGAAGUAUCUUCAGGUCAGGAAUGGAUGUGUGGCAUCACUAUUACUUUUGAUGUCGGUGGCUGGCAUGGUUUAUCCGUCCUGGUUCUCUCUCCCACUGAAUCUAGCAAGCCUGGCUCAAAAUCCUUUUAACACACGGCUCACGGAAGCCACUGCCAAUCAGCUGAGGUUGACCCCAAAGGGGAAACUUAUUGGCCAUCUUGGCUCUAGGAGACCAGCACUAAGGAAGCCUGAGGUUGGGGGGGUCUCCCAUUGCGUCAAAUGUGGGGUGGGGGCUGGGGACCAGACAUCGUGGCCAUUGCCUGCUAAGCAUGUUUGAGUCUGGUCUCAGGGUACAUGGGGUUGAAGCUUAUUGCUACUCAAGCACGUGUCUGACCAUGAAGACCACGUGCCUGGUCCUCCUGAUUUAGACUGCAAGUUCCCCAAGGGUAGGGGUGGUACCCUAUUCACCUCUCCACCAGCCUCGGCACCUACCCAUGGCGCGGGGUUCUCAGGACACUUGAACUGAGGGAACUGGAAGGGGAUGCCCGGAAGAGAUGACGUGAGCAGUUUACUCAGUGGAAAGCAACAAAUGACUGAUCUUUACUUACUCAAGUUCAAAUUUUCUUUUAUAUCCUUUGGAAAGAUAGUUUGGGGAUAAUGGUAGGUUUCCGCUGAGUGGUAUUAUGCACAGAACCUGAGGUACUGCUCCCCUGCCCCCUUUCUGAAGCCACCUUCCUGCAAAGGGCCUAACCCCGCACGGGGAAAGCCUGCAGCUAAGCUUUGUGUGAGUCCUGGAAACAUCCAGAUCUCCUAAAGCGUCUCCAGAGGCCUCCAGGCACUUGGAUCAGUUACACAGCCUGACGAGCACCCUAACGGCUUCCUCUCUGGUCCUCCACUUCUCCCCAAGAGAGGUUUUGGGCUGAGUCCACAUUGCGGCUCACCCAGGAGGUCCUAGGAUGGCUUGAGUCCUUGGGUCCUGCCCCCUCCUCUCCUACUUGACCUUCAGGUGGGGUUUAUGAGCACGACUUAAGAAGCUCGGCUGCCUGGGUUUGCCCUCCUCCCUGCUCUUGUCUCCCCCGGCACCUGGCUCUGAAGACCGGGCCUCAUGACGCACAGCUGCUCCACACCCCGGGCUACCAAACAACCAGGCCGACCCUCCAGGCUUACCCUCCCCUCUGUGUUGCAGGGCAGGAAGCAGCCCAUUUUGCCUGAUGGACUUCUGUUCUGGCUCUCUGAGGGAGCAGCUCUUCUUGGCAUUGUGGUCCACAUGGGAAGGCCACAGGACAUUGAACCUGGGGUUGCUUGUCCAUGCUGACGGAGCACCAGGCAGCUUCGCCUCACUUGGAAGCAGACCUGCCCAGUCCUUGCUCAUUGGUGUCCUUUGGCGGCUCCAGUGGGUGAGCUCACUCUCCACCAUCUUUGCUGGCACCCAUGGAGCAACGGGCUUUAAGGAAAGACAGCCAGACCUAUAGUCAUGUUUUCCAGCCAGUCAAGGCUCCCCCCUAGUCUUCACUUGAGCUCUAGUGAUGAAGACCCUGAGGGAUGCGGCACCUCCCCAUGGGUUCCUGUGCGGGAGUCAGAUGACCCUGAGCUGAGAUGUCCCCACGAACAGCUUUUAUUGCCACGUUGCCUUCUCCCAAGGCACCCAAACCUCCUCUGUAUUGAGGGGUGUGUGCAGGUGCGUGUGUAGGGGGUGGGAGAGUUGAGCUGUGUGGAGGAGGGCAGUAAUGUCUUAGAGGACAUGUUUCCAGCACUGGGCUGGGUCCUUGGUGUUUGCUCACUGAGCUCUUCUCACCGUUAUGGUUCCCGUGUACAGAUGCUGAGGCUGGGCACGCCCGCAGGUGCACAGCUGGUCCGGGUGGGCUGGGAGGCAGCCUAGACUGUCUGGCUGCGGGUGCCAGCUGCCCUUGCCCUGCGUCUCGCUCAGCCCACCUGGAGCUCUUCAAGCCAUUCAGGAGCCACUCGAUGUGCGACAGGGACAGGUCUCCUGUUCCUGACGGUGGCUGCUCCUCCGCUUCUCCACGCUCGACUGCAAGAUCUGAGUCCAUUGCACCAUCUGCCGGGUUUGUUUUUUCCAACAAACCUCGGCGUUUGCCAAGGCCGCCAAAGGAACAUCGCCUUGCCAAGGGCACAUUUUACAUGGCCGAAAAAAGCAACUCUGUUAGAAACCUACUUUUAUCUCAACUAAAACAAAAACAUUAUCCUUUUAAAGAAGAGAAUAUUAUUUUGACUACAUUAAAACCAUUAACUUUACUUUAAUUUUUUUGUGUAUGGGGGUAGUGCGUGUGUCCAGGCGUCUAUUCAGACUUUGGGAACAGUGACGGGGAGGGGCAUUCAUUGUCUACAGGUGGUGUCCCUGAGCACCCGCCAACUCCUUUCACACUUACACAAUGGUCACUUGUGCGUCUAGAUCUCGUCUCCACCAGCAGAGUGGAAUAUCGGGGGCCAGUGGGGCCAGUGACUCCCAUAAAAGUCCUUCCAAAAGUCCCCCUAGGUCCUCAAGGCUUAGGAUGUAAGCACUGGGUCUGGUCGAAACGCAUCGCCACCUUUUGUGCUAAACCACUCAUCCUCCAUCCCACAGUCACCUUUACAUGAUGCCCUCAAUUUUCACACAAAGCAUCAUUUUAUGAAACGGUCUGAUGUGGAGCAUCUGCCCGUUUUUUGUAAAACUGCUAACCCCGUAUUCUAGAAGAAUACUCCGUCAUGCCGUCCUGUGUCCAUCCCUUGAAGACGCAGGCAGCACAUUCUUUCCACAGCUCUGCCUUAGGAAAAACCUUCUUUCUCUUGGAGCUCUUCCUGUUUUUUAGAGAACAAGGUCUGAGUAAUUAUCGCUUCUUCUCUUUGUCACAGCUGCCAGAAAGCUGGCGCUAAGUUUUGUGCUGCAAUGGAGGUCGUUUAUUUCAGCUCAGGUUUUCUGGUGAGGAUAUUUGCCUCCUUCACCUUAUUCUUUGACUCCUGUCUUUUUAUUCUUGCUUCAGUGGUUUGUGGAUUGAUUGCAUCCUUCUUAGUGUAAAUUGCCCCAAACCUGCUCUGGAAAUAGGCCACUUUCCUCUCCAUCAGGGAUGUGGGCCAGGUGGUGGCUGCGACUUGACUGUCAGAGGGAGCUGAAUGUUCUCGGAAAGACGAUGCCAGUGUUCCGAGGUAAGAGCUUAUCUACCUCUCUGAGCCUCAGCUUUCUCAUCUGCCAAUAAAGGAUAAUCUCACCAUCCACCUUUCCAGCCCCUGCUGGAAAUGGGAGAUAAGGUUUUUAAACUGCUGAGCUUGGACGCAUAAUAGUCUCAAAUCUUUAUGUCCUUCUUCUGAGUGACCUUGGGUUGGUCUGAUCAGGGCUGGCUUCCUGGGUGUGUGACCAGCCCAGUCGCAGAGCCUGUGCUCAAAAAGGCCCUGCACUUGAGGUUAAAUGCUCUGUGGUGGCCAUCUUGAAAUCCUUAAUGGUUUUAUCUUUGAAUUCGCGUUUUGUCAGCUGAAGUCUGAUGGGACGAUGGAGCCUGUGCCCCCUGCUGGUUCCCUGCGGCCCCUUCCUCUCCCACUCACCGCUGCUCUGCAACCUCCACUGCCCCCGCCCCCCAGCGGAGGCCUGGGUGGGUGCGGGGAGGGUCAGGGUAGGUGCGCUGGGUUGCGGGGUGGUGCUGGGCGCCUUUGAGGGUCUGCAGUCACUCUGCAAAUAUCCCUGUGCCCAAGCAAGAGUGACAUAAAUAGCAAAUAAAAAGCACCACGACGGGUUGAGAGAGAGACUUCGGAAGAAAAGGGAAAGCUUUUUGAACCAGAGAGCCUGCGUGUUCAUUUUGUGCCUGGCUCUGCAAAUUACGUGGCUGGCUCCGGGUCUGAUGGCUUCUCCUGAUGGUUCCAGAGUCCGUCUGUGAGUAUCAGUCUUAUGAGAGGAAGCUUCCUUGACUUCACUACUUAAGGAGGGGAGGAGGAAAGAAGGAAGGAGGGAGGGAAGGAAGAAGGAAAGGGAGGAAGGAGGGAGGGAGGAUGGUAGUUUCAUUUCCUAGGCGGCUACCACCAACUGUCACAACCCAGAUGGCUUAAAACAACAAAAUGUAUUAUUUCACAGUUCUGGAAGCUGGAAGUCUGAAAUCAAGGGGCCACAGGGCCACACCAGCUCUGGGCCCUGUAGGGGAGCAUCCUUCCCAGCUUGUGGGGGUUGCCAGCAAACCUAGUGUUCCUUGGCUUGAAGACGUAGCACUUCAUUCUCUGCCUCCACUCUCACGCCACCUUCUCCCUUGUGUGUCUCUCCUCUUUUUGUAAGGACACCAAGUGUCUCAGGCAGUCCAGCUGCUAUAACGAAAUGCCAUAGGCUGGGUGGUUUAUACACAGCAGAAAUUUAUUUCUCGUGGUUCUGGAGGUUGGAAGUCUGGGAUCAGGGUGCCAGCAUGGUUGGGUUCUGGGGAGAGCCUGCCUCUGGGUUGAAGACUGCCAGCUUCUCCUUGUAGCCUCACACGGCAGAAAGAGAGCUACCUAGUUUUCUGGCCUCUUCUUAUAAGGGCACUGAUGCAUUCAUGCGGGCUCCAUCCUCAAGACGUGUUUACCUCCCCAAGCCGCCUCUGCCGAAUACCGUCACAUUGGGAUUAGGGGUUUGGGGAGACACACUCAUUUGGUCUAUAACACCAAUCACGUUGGAUUUAGGGCCCACCCUAAUCCAGUAGGACCUCAAUUUAACCUGAUUACAUCUGCAAAGAUUCUGUUUCCAAAUAAGGUCACCUUCACAGGUUCUGGGUAGACAUGGAUUUUGGAGGGACACUAUUCAGCCCAAUACAGAUGCACCUGGCAGUUCAGGACCUUUGGUAAUUCCAAGAGCUUCCCCUGGAUGGAAUAUAGACAGACAGAUGUUUGUUAAAGGGCCAUGAUACUGAGGGGUGGCUGAUAAUGACACAGGAGAUGCAAACAGGCAGACCCCAAAGAGACCUACAGCAACGAGUUGAGUAUUGCCUGUGGGUGGGCUGAACUGCAAGGGGCACCCACACCACAUCUGCCAAACUUGCCUGAGUCUCAUUCAUUCUUGCAUCCAUCCAACUGUUAUUUAUUGAUGUCUUCUCUAACCCAGGUACCACGCCAGGUGCUGGAAUGCAAGGUGAGGAUGACAAACUGAGAAGUGCUGUAGAGACAGGGGACAAGGAACUGCCUGGGAAGGUGCGUGAGGGCUUCCGUAGAGGUGCCCAUGGAGCCGGGUGUGGAGGAAGGUGAGGCUGGUCUGGCGGGUGGCUAAGAGGCCGUGUGGAGGGCGUCCAGCGAGGCCACUGCGUGGGCCAUGUCAAGGUGCUGGGAACCUCAGCCUGUGCGCAGGCUAUGGCAUGUGGUUCCUUUUGCUGAUCGUGGAUGGACGGUGGGAGCUGACUCAGGGAAAGGAACUGGGGAGGCCAAACUCAACAAAUGAUGACAGAGGAGGCAGCUUAACAAACACUUCAGGAACGCACUAUUAGUAACAGAAAAUAGCUGGAAACGCCCAAAUGUUCACCGUGAAAGGAAUGGUGAGACAACCGGAGGCGUGUCCCCACAGCCAAGUGCUCUGCUGCGUGAAAAAGAGCAAAGCGAGUUUAUGUAUGCAAACACGGAAGGAAAUCCAACCCAGACUGUCGACUGGAAAAAGCACAUUGCAAAAGAAUGCAUAAUCUGGGAGAUAUACGUAUGCAAAGAAAAAACCCAAAUGUAUAUUUCAAAGGCUCUCACAUGUGUCCAUAAUGGCUUCACGUUUGCACGUGCUCAGGAAAAGAUCUGGAAAGAUAAAACACAAAUUGUUAUUGGUGGUUAUUUCGGGGCAGUGGGAGGAUGGUAGCAGGAAUGACCGUGGGAACCUACCCUGUUUUUUACAUAAAGGUUGUAUUCAUCCCUCCAUUCCUGGGCUGUGACCAGGGUGUGAGCAAAGGGUAGCACCAGCCCACAGCCUGAGAAUGCACUUUACUGGGGGCUUGGGAAGAAGGCACAGAAGGCUAUCGCCCCAAUUAUAUUUUGACUCUUCUCUUCCAGUCCUCCCAAGCUCGGCUUUCCACUUACACUACUCAUGGUCUCUAAUAAAUGGCGUGCCCCUCAUUACUGAUAUCUGUUUUCUGCUGGCAGGAUUAGCGCGUUCUUUGGGCGACCGGCUGCGGUUCUCAAGACUGAUAAGGAAGCCUGCACCAAUCUCUGUUGGAGGCCAGCGUCCUGAUAAGCGUGCUCUCUGUCUCCAGGCAUCUUCCGUGGAAUCCCUCUGGGAGGGUUUUGCCUGGUACCCUAAUGCUCGUGGAAUGAACACACCGGAGGCCUGCUGUCUGGGUCUGCAGAUAGAUGAGGGUGAGAGGCUGCGUGAACCACUUCUUGCUUUGCAAGAAGCAGGCGCUGCCCUCAGAGGUCAAAUGACGAGGGUGGUGGCAGGCAUUCCGUUGCAAGACAUUUGGAUGUGUGUCCAACAGCCCUUAGCAGGGCAGGCCUGGGAAUCAGGAGACGUGGGCUGGAGUGAUCUGCAUAGAGUUAUGUUGAAGUUUUUACUUUGGCAAAAAAAAGAAAAGAAGAAGAAAUAUUUUUCUGAUGACAUAUAGCUGAGAAGUCUAUAAAUGUUUUAGGAUGACAUAGUCGGGGGGAAUCCUGGAUCAUAUCUAAAAAGAUGGAGUUUCAUAAGAAAAAUUGACUUGGCUUCAGGAAAACCAAUUGCACAGAUAUAAGGAAGAUGUGUCUGAAUGAUGGCAGGUGUGUGAGGGGCUGCGGAUCCAGAGGAUGACGUAAUGCAUUCAAGGGGUGAGAGACGCAGCCGCAGGAUGCAUUCACAACAGUGUAGAACGUGGAACGAAGGCACAGAGGACAAUCCUGGAUCCUCUGGGAAGCUCACUUUCUCAGAACUGGUUGGAAGAAGUAAUUUCCCAGGAGUCCCAUUCUAGUCACAGAAAGAACUUUCUAAGAGUGAGAGCUGUCCGAGGAUACAUAGGUUUCCUUGGAUCAGAGUGAGCUCCCUGUCGCUGGAUGUAUGCAAGCAGCCACAGGGCAGGGAGGCUGCACAGGGCCAGGUACCAGGGCUGUUCUCAUUGUCAUCUUCCUUCCCAGCAGUGGCACCAUGCAUGGCUCAGACACAAGCCAUAAUAAUUGCCUAAUUAGUGAAUUGAUGAAUAUCACAAAUCUGGAGAAAAUCGAUGGGCUGCGGUGUUCCUUCCAGGUCUGGAUGCUAUGGUGCCAUGAAAUCCCCACGAGAGAAGAGGCAUCUACUAGUUUCUUACUUCUGCUGUAACAAAUCACCACUAACUUAGUGGGCUAAAACAACACACAUUUAUUCUCCUGAAGUUCUGGAGGUCAGAAGUCCAAAAUCAGGACCCCUGGGCUGAAGUCAAGGUGUUGGCAGGGCUGGCUCCUUACAGAAGCUUUCAGGGUAGAUUCCGUCUCCUGCCUUUUCAGUUUCUAGAGGCCACCUGGAUUCCUCGACUCGUGGCCCCUUCCUCCAUCCUCAAAGCUCUCAGCUCCAAGCUCUUCCUACAUCGUCACUUUCCCUUCUCUCUUCUGUGGUCGCAUCUCCCUCUGCCUCCUGCAUAUAAGAACAUUUGUGAUUCCACUAGUGACGCACCCAGAUAAUCCAGGGUAACCUCUCCAUGUCGAGAGAGAUGUCUCCAUCUUCAUCACAUCUGCAAAGUCCCUUUUGCCACAUAAGGAAAAUUCUCAAGUGCCAGGGACUAGGGUAUGGCCACUUUCGUGGUGGGGGAGGGGGGGAGCAUGAGUUAUUUAAAUUACCACCGGGUGGAAGAGAAUAAAACCAGGAGUGGGUUAUUGGAGGCACCUCCCUGUCUGGGGAAGGGAAGAAAGUGGAACUAGGGAAGGAGGCAGAAGAAAGAAGCCACGAAGUUCAGAGGACCCACGACCACGUGGUGACCAGCAACCUGGGGAGAAGGAUACGGGGGAGUUGGAAAGAGAAGGUGGUGGCCAGGGUGGAGAAAGAUCAGGGUUUGGCCUGACUCUUUCACUGUAGCAUCCUCAGUUCCUGGAGCUGUGCCUGACAUAUAGUAGCUUCUCAAUAAGGGUGCGUUGAAUGAAUGAAUAACUGGGGAUGUUGCUACUGGCUGAAGAAACAGCUGUGCUGGUGGGCCUGGGUCAGCAUCUUCCCAAGGCCGGGCUCUGUAAAUCCCCGUGGGAAGCUGAGAUACGGGCUGGGCAUGACCUGUGCCAGAAUGAGAACUGGGCCCCGACGAGGCUAGCCUCUCCACCUGCUCUGUUUCAGAGGCUCGGCGGCCGCCUUCAGAGCAUGAGCUUUGUGUAAGGUUGCAUUGAACCCAGAGAAAAGGUGAAGGCAUGCGGCCCGGAAUACUGAUGGGGAUUUGGCACGCAGAAGUGAGAGCUCUGCGCAGUUUAAGGCCUUGGGUUUUGUCCCACUUUCUGAAGGAGAAGAUGUGAGACUUAGCAAGCACCGAGCGUCCACGUGUACACGCCAAGGAACAGAUACCGUGCCAAUGAGCAAACUGUGAUUCAGAAAACCUUCUCCCUCUUCCAAUCUUUCCUGCUUCGGAGACAGAACGCAAAUGUCCCUGCGUUCCAGCUGUAACGCAAGUCUUGCCGCUGAUUAAAGGGCAGACCUGGAAACUCUCCGGUGAGCUAUGCUCCUAACUAUGUCUCCUGCUCACUCCAUCCAGCAGACAGAGGACAGCUUUUCCUUGCUGUUUAUUCACUGGAGCUGCUGGGGCCCUUCACAUUUAAUUAUGUGUGCUUGCAAAAUAAAUGUGGAAUGAAAUGUUCGCAUUCCCCGAAGUUGAUGCUGUGGCAGGCCGGGAUGAGUGAGGAUGCUGUCUCUGUGCCGAGCAUAGCGGGGGCUUUGAGCCUUGUGCAGACGGAUGGAUGCUGCGAAAGCCAGAGCGCCUUACAUUCCUCUGCUGGGUUGGUACCAGGCAUGCACAUGUCAGCCUCCUGUUAAGGGCUUUGAUAUUGGAUUUCUUAGAAUUCGGAGACAGUUAUUCAUUUAUCAAAGCCUACAAGUUAGUGCAGAAUAAACUCUCUGUAAGGCACUAUGCUGACUCUUAGCAGAGGAGGCUCCGGGCUGUAGGUUCAUUCAUUGAAUCGAUCCUUCAUUCGUUCAUCCAGUACCCACGGGUGUCUACCUUGUACCAGGCACUGCAAACACAAGGUGAAAAGGACUGGCCUCUGUUGGCUGGAGUUGGUGGGUGACAAGCAUGCAAUCAGCCUCCCUCGGGCUCCAUGUGGGAGACAGGGUCUGUAUAACGCCCUCCGGGUGCACAGAGGAUGGAGUGACCAUCAACCUGGGGAAGGUGCGGGAAGCCUCCAAUGGAGGGGCAUUGGUGGGAUCUUGAAGGGGGAGGAGCGAUUUGAUUUUCCAGGUAACCAAGUAAGGGGUGGGGAGAGCGUGGGUCCCAGGGAGAGGGGAAGAGCAGCCUCUGACACCUGCCCAGAAGUUUGUUCAUGUGUCAGUUCAGGGCGUCUGAUGGGCAGGGCAGAGGGUGAGGGGAGAAACGGCCAGGACAGAUGGUAAAGAUCCGCAAGUCUUGUUUUUCCCUGCAAGUAAUAGGAUUACAGUGAAGAUAUUUAAACAAAGGAGCAGCAUGGCUGAUGGGGGGCAGCAUGACAGGUGAAUCCGGGAGAUGAGAGCCUGGAGGCUGGGAGGUGGGGGUAUGUUCCAGCUGCUGGACAGUACUGUGAGGACCACAGCUAAGCAGAGGGGAUGGAGAGAGAGGCCGGUCUCGUGAAGUGCUUAUUGAGGGGGUGUGUUCUGGGCUGAAUUGUGUCUCCCCCAUAAUUCAUAUAUUGAAGCCCUGACCCCCAGUACCUCAGUGUGACUGUAUUUGGAGACAGAGCCCUGAAACAGGUAACUAAGGUGAGUCAUUAAAGCAAGGGGAGAUGGCCAAGUGAGAGCAGUGGGAGCAUCCUCGUUUCUGGAAGGAAGAGAAAGGGAGGGACCAGCACUUUGGAGGAUACAGGGUUGAGGGGAGAGUUAGCCCAAGAGGUUUGCCUCUGCCCGUUUGAAGAUGGUGCUUCUGCCUCCUGUGCAGCGAAAUAAAGAUGCUCAGCCCGCUGGUCCCCAGCCUCCCGCCUUUGCAAAUGCUCUUCCGUCUUCCACCACCACCCGGCCUCUCUUCUACCCAACACGUGAGGCUAGUGGAGUUGACGACUCUCUUGCAUCCCUUCUCUCUCUUCAACCAAUCACAGUUCAUUUGUCGUAGAUCUCUGGCCCUUACACUUUAGUUCUUGAUUACGUGGCCAUCUUGCUUCCCCCAUCCCUUAUCACAGCUUCUCCAGGAGGAGGCUCUGCGCAUCUCUAGUCUUCUCACUACCCUCCACAGAGGCCUGCACCCAGAGUAGACCCACAGAGAAUGGAAUCGCAUCUCUGGCUGGGAGGAGGGAUGAAGGUGACUCAUUUUCCCAGGCAUCUGUCCACUGUCUGUGUUCCUCUCCCAUGAUGUCAGGGGUCACCCAGUGGAGUUACCACUCCAGUGAUGGCAGAGUUCCUCCUCUGGAAGCAGCCUGGUUUGUAUUCUUAAUCAUAACAAUAGACCCCACCACUUACAUCUGACACAUGACGGGAGGGACUUAUGCCAGGAUGGUCACAAGUGGGAUUGCACCCUGGACAGUGAGUGUGAAUGGACUGCUCUACCACCUCCAUUCCACAGAUGUGCCAGAAGGGCGCAGAGAGGGCUAGUGAGCUGCCCAAGAGAAUACGGGUGGGAAAGGUGAAGAGUUGCUUUGGGAAUCCAAACCCCAGCUCUGUGCUCCUCCCACCAUGGGUGCAGCCUCAUAAGAUUCUGAUAUUUAGCACCUAUGGGUGCUCACAACACGUGGACGAGAUUGGCUGAUCCAGUUUGGUGACAGGACAGAUUCUGGCUGAAUGAGCUGCUGGCAGCAAAGUGGCCAGAGGCUUUGACGAGGACAGACCAGUUUGCAACGUGUGGGUGAUGCCCCGUGAGCACAUAGGCAGAGACUGGAUUUAAUUUGGUUCCUUCUUAGAGACCAAAUGGCUCAAGAUUGGGGAAGGGGGAGCACCUCUGUCCCAGCAGGACCACGUGCUACCAUCUAGCAGCAUCAUCACUAGUCCACAAGAGCACUUCAUCUCGUGAGGAUUCACCAUGGAAGGUGCUGGAAGCUUUAUCCUGGGAGGCAGGGGGAUGGAAGGGCUGUCCAGGGGCCACCUGGAAAGAAGAAGUACCAAGGGUGGAAAGUUCCUUCAUCCUGCUUCCUGCUUACCUUAUUUUUAAACUAAGAAUAAAAACAACAAAAAUAAGUAGAAAAUAAUACUCAGAAAAGCAAAAAGGAAAAAUGAACUAGAAAGGAAAACCAUGAUGGAGGCAGGUUGAAAGCUGGGGAGAAAGGAUUAAAAAGGAUAAAUUCAAUAAUCUAACAUGAUCUGAGGGCAACGUUUAGCUCCUGGACCCUGAAGCCUCAGUCUGGGGACUCAGAGUGGGUGCUCCAGGCACCGGGAUGCAAAGCCAGCCCAGGGCUGAGCGCUCAGCCACUGCUCCAUGGUUCCCAGUGAGUGUGGAACAGCCUUGUGGGCCUUGGCCUCUGCUCUCGGUCCCUUGUGGCCCCUCUCUCCCCCUGGCGGCUUGUCCUUCACCAGGACAUGCUUUAUUCUUGGUUGCAGAGUUGCUGGUCCAUCUCUGGCUGGGAUGCAAAGCACAUCUUCUGGUCAAAGUCCUGCAGGGCAGUGCCUUCUGACUCUGCCCUAUUCUUGUCUGCUCAACCCUGUUAUCAGUGUCAUCAGAUGCAAACUUGGACCACCUGUGGAUAAAACUUGCAAACGACACAAGGCUGUGCAGGACAUUAAGUUUGCUGGAAAUAAUUCUGGAUCCAAAAAGACCCUGUGGGCUGGAUUUUGCAAUGAACAGAAUGUGCUGGAAUGUGGUCAAGAUGGCGCUGCCUCGGCAUCCUGGUGUGAGCACCAGAGAGCUUGUACUCUCCAUGUCCGAUUAUGAGAAAUGCCAGUCGAAGAACCCUACUGUGGCCAAUUUGUCUUAUCGUGUUACUUAAUGGCACUUACAUUAGAGAAUAUGUGACUCGUGUUUCUUUUUGAAUUCCUGCCAGGAAAAAGUUGGUUCUGACUCAAGGCCCACCAUCAUCCUUUUAUCUGUCAGUGGAAAUCUGUCAUGCUUCCCUUUUUGCAUCGUCUUCCAGGAAGCUCUGUGUGAAAGCUUGUGCCAAUGUCAUAACCAUCAAAUUUCAAGGGCCUGGAGGAACUAGCUAUGUCUUCCUUUCAUAUAUUUGCAGCUUCUCCAUUUUGCCUGUACUGCGUGCUGUGUCAUAUGUAUGUUUAUUAUAAGGCACUUGGAUAUCUUUAUAGACAGACUGGUGAGGACAGUUGGAUGGAAUGUGUUGGUUUCACGACAAGACAUCUGAAAAUGACACUUGAAGAGUCAGUCGGCUGUAAAUAUAGAUGAGUCAGGACCAUGCUGUGGCUGCCCAAGCAUCCCUGGACUCUGGGACUGAAAUAGCCCACCACGUCAAGGCUAGAGAAGGUUCUGGUUCCCCUGAGCUGUGCCCCAUCAGAUCAUGUUUGCAGCGUGGCCCUGAGUCCCAGGCUGGACUUUAAGAGGGGUGGGGGCAGGCAAGGUGUGUCUAAGCUGAUGGGCACCUUGGUCAGGGAAUGAGAAAGACUGACUCAAGGUGGUCUUUCUAAACACUUCCAGAUGAGGGGGUCCAGGGCGAGGAGCUGGAAGCUGGCUCAGUACAAGGAUUUCCCAGAUCAUUAGGUCCUAUGUGAAUUACUGGUGAUGAGGUCCCAGUCAAGAGAGGUUACCAAGAAGAGGCAUUUGGCUCCUUUCCUAGGAUAGUGUAGAGGGGUUUUGUGCACGAAGUGGAGUUGAGCUUCCAUCUGGGAAUCGAUUACUUCACAUCCUAUUGACAGACUGAUGUGGGAAAGCUUCUCAGCCGGUCAACCCAGCCACACAGAGACUCCUGGAGGCAUAGGGACCUUCCCAGCAUCUGAGCGCAUCCUCUUCUCCAUUUUUCAGGAAUCAACAUUUUGCCCUGCAGCCUGCUCUUCGUCUGGUCCCUCGCAUGUGUCCCAGGAUUCCAUUGUGACAUCCGACAAUUCAACUUCGCAGACAUCAAUUGAGAUCCUAGGGUGCAAAGUCAAGGCAGCCACAGGCCCUUGUCCUCUGGGAGGUCCCACGGCCUCAGGAGAGGCAGCCGCGGGACGGAGGAUCACAACAGACUGUGACAAGGAGGUCCAUGAUGGAAAUGUUGGGAGAGGGUGGGGGGUCCAAGACAAGCCCCACCCAGCUUGCAUGUGUGCCAAGCCCAGGGAAGUAUCUGGUUACAAAGUUGGGUAAGACUCGACCCCUGUGCUUAAGGAGCCCAGGUGGAGGGACUGGGCGUGGUGGGGAGGCAAACCCACACCCAGGUAACCACGUGUCAAGUGCAACUCAAGGCAUUACGGGUGCCUGGAGCUGUGCCACCCGGAAGUCACACUGGACAAGGAUGAGAGUGUGUGGCAUACAGAGGUAAGGGACAGUGAGGCGCAGUGAGCCUGAGUAGGGCGGGACACAGCGAAGAGGCGACCCUUGUGUCCAUCAGGUGGGAACAAGGCCAUCCAGGCAGAUGGGGCCUGGGCACAGGCGUCCACUGCGUCUUUUUGUUGUAUUGCCUCCCUAACUCUGGGGCUGUCAAUGGCAUCCUGCUCCUUGAUGAUAAUGGGGAAACCAAUCACACAAGGGACCGGGCUUUCUGAUGCUGAUUUCCCUUCAACAAUUUCCAGCUUUUUAAUAGGAUUCAUCCGCCAUUCUAGAGAGAGCACUUAAUGCCGUCCAGGAAAGGAGCUGGCAGUGAUACUAAAAGCCAAAGGAAGGAGAGAGGAGAAGGAGGCAGAGAGAAGCCAACACGAGGACUGAGAGACGUUUAAGCAAACCCGGGAAUGAACAGAGCGGGUGGGGAGAGCCCUUGGAGAGGCUGGGCCUCUUCCUGGCUAUGGGCAACUUCGGGGAAGGAAGGCUGAGCUCCGGGGUGCUCCCCCCAAUGGCUUGCACCCCUUAUUUCAGUAUUCUACUCCACACUCAGCCUGCACUAACAAGGAAUCAAAGACGUCUCUGAAGUCCCCAGUGAAUCCACUGUCCACUGCUCAUUGCCCCUUGACUGGAUCCGUCUUCACUGUGGAAAGAGCAUGCAUGUGUGAAUAGAGGCCCGGGGAGGCAGCCUGGGCAGCCCGCUUUUCUCAGGACCCCACUAAUGUGGCAUGGCCUGGGUGCUCACCACUGUGGACAUCUGAGCCUUUUAGACAAGAGGGCCAUUUGUCACCGUCAUUGGUUUCCAGGAAAGCGCCCUUGAGGCGGCCCCCGUCCUUCCUGGAGGUGCCAGGUUCUCAGCGUCUCCCUCUCAGUAUGGAAGCAUCGUGGAGAGGGCUGAAAGAGACAGCCCCUUGGGUCAGCGCUGCCGACUGCAAUUCAAUGCAAGACUUUGGGAUCCAGGAAAGGUUUCCUUUUGCUCAAGACCUUCAGUGAGCAGACAGGUAUUUAUGCCCCGGCCCGCAUGUGCCGCCCCUGCCCUGUGCUUCCUUACCUCCGCCUCACCUGCCCCUGCGGGCUUAUUUGGUACCUUCCUCCCACCGGCAUGUCAGCUUCCAAGGCAGGAGCGUCUGGCCCUUCUGCUCACUGUCACAUCCCCACACCUCAGCGUGUGCCUGGCUCAUGUCGGCCCCCCAUAAACAUCAGUCUCCUGAACAAGUGAAGUGCUAGGGUAGGAGUCAGGACGCCUGGUGUAAGGCCGGCCCCACUGCGUGACCCCGAUAAAAUGAGUUAACGUCUUUGAGCCACAGCUUUCUUAUUGCAAAAUGGCCUGAUAAUGGAGUCCACCCUCUGCACUUGUGGGGAAUAUGUCCCUACGGCUCUGGAGUCCCCGAGGCACGGAUGUGAUUUCUCCCUGAAGUUCAGUCCGAUGUCAUAGAAAAGGACCCAGUGAACCAAUUAAUCAACAGGGGAGAAACAUCACAGGCGAGGCCAGUAAGCAGGUUUCUCCUCUGCCCCUGGUGUUUCUCAGGAGCAUCCUCGGGGCCAAGCCUGUCCUAGCAGGGUCACCGCCUGGUGAGCCAGGAGAGAGCUAAGCCACACCAGGGCCACGGUCACCUGAGGUCAGAUCAGUCACCAGCCAAGUGAGGCCCGCAGCUGCCAGCUCCCCCUGCCAGGGUCAGAUGGCUGCCUCAGCAAAGUGGCAAAUUCCUUCUUGUGUGGAAUAGUUGAAACCUAGACUUUGGAAUUCACAGAUGCCUGGGAAUCCUAGGAUACUGUUCAGCGAGCUGGCGUCUUUGAAAGCAGAGUGGCUGGGCCACGUGGUGUGAACUUUACCCAUUGAUUUGCAUUUUAUUUUUCCACCUGUAGAUCAUACGCCUUUCCCUGGACAUACUUGCUCCGUCCCCACACAGACUUCCCCAUGCUUAAGGAUGGCCUGGGAGUCUCAGAGAGGGUGGUCCCAAGGCAAUGAGGCCUCCCUGAGCCUCACGUGAGGUCCCGCUGUCAGACCCUAAAAGCCACUUUAGGACCCACUAACAGUGCUUCUCCAGAAACACGGGGACCUCGGAGGAUGGCUCCAAGGGAAACUGCUCCAUCUACUGGGGUCUGGGGAGCAAGGUGGCUGCCAGUGUCCGUGCUUGCUGAGGACACUUGGGAGGCCCAGGGGUAGGCUGAGGGUGAGGACUGCAUCUCUGUAGGGUCCCAGGCAGCAAACGUUUACUCUGAGAGUAGGUAGAUGGGGGUAAUGUGAGGCUUAGAGUAUAGUCAUGCUCCUUGGGGGAGAUGAAAUCAGGUGUACAGUGAGACUUGGGGUGAGCCGCCCUGGGGACCAGCUUACGAGGCUGGGUUCAGAGGAGACGGACGACUCAGGCCUGCCUGGCCUCUGCUCCCUCCUGGCGUGGCUUCCACAUCCUCCAACCGCUGCACCUCCCCAUACAAAGGGCUCCCUCCUCAGACAGCCUGGGGAUGUGCGCUCGCCGUGUAUUUGCUUUCUAGGGCUGCCCACAAAGUCCUGGGUGGCUUCAAACAACAGACUGUGAAGUCAGGGUGCUGGCAGGGCCACACUCCCUCCAAAGGCUCCAGGGGAGGAUCCCUCCUGGUCUCUUCCAGCUUCUGCUGGCUCCAGGUGUCCCUUGGCUUGUGGCUGCAUCACUCCAAUCUUUGUCUCUGUGGUCACAUGGCGUUCCCCCUGUGUGUAUGUCUUCUUAUAAGAACGCCAGUCCGAUUGGCCUCAGGGCCCACCCUAAUGGGGCAUGAUCUCAUCUUAAUUAUACUACAGUCAUGUGCUGCAUAACCAUAUUUUGGUCAACGAUGGACCACCUAUAUGAUGGUGGUCCCACAGAUCAGUACCAUGUAGCCAGGUGAGUAGUAGGCUACACCAUCUAGGUUUGUGUAAGUGCACGCUGUGAUGUUCGCACAACGACAAAAUCACCUAACGAUGGACCACCUAUACGACCGUGGUCCCAUAGAUUAGUACCAUGUAGCCAGGUGUGCAGUAGGCUACACCAUCUAGGUUUGUGUAAGCGCACUCUGUGAUGUUUGCACAACGACAAAACCGCCUGAUGACGCUUUUCUCAGAACGUAGCCCCGUCGUUAAGCGACGCAUGACUGUAAUUACAUCUACGAACACCCUAUUUCCAAAUAAGAUCACAUCCUGAGGUUCUGGACAGGUGUGAAUUUUCGGGGGCCCUAUUCGGGCCAGUGCGGCCGCUCUCCCAUCUCACAAGAGGUACUGUGCUCCUUAGCACACUCUGGGAAGUCAGGUAAGAAACAAACCUGUUUGAUUAAAUCCCUUACCAUGUUUUCCAAACUUGUCCUGAAAACGGAGCCCUUUAUUUGCAUAACUUCUGCUGCCGUCCCCCAGAACCGGUCUUCAAGGAACCCACUUUGCAAGCACUGCACACCACCAGCCCGUGUAAAGCGAACAGCUUCCUGCAAUCAUUAUAGUCUGGGAGAGGCUGAGAGCACAUCCUCGUCAGGACAAGCAGUGGAGAGGAGGGGGCAGCACAGCCACUGUGCAGUGGGGGUGGGUGUGGAAGACCCUGGUGCAAUUUGUUCAUAAACUUGGUCUUGAUUUUUCCAGUGGGACCUGAUGGAAAAAAACAGAGUUGUGAAAUAAGAUUUCUUUCAAUCAUUCACACUGUUGUGCACCGAUCUUUUACAUUAACUAAUUGCACCCAACUCCUACUUAUCCUUUAAGAGUCAGCUCUGAGGUCACCUCCUCCAGGAAGCUGCCGUGAGUGCAAGCAUGAUCCCCUGCUCAGGUUUCAUCAUCACUCUGCCUCCUUGAGAGGCAGUGAGCUGCUGUGCAUCUGUGAGCCCCUGAGGGCAGGAAUGGGCUGCUCAGCUCUGUGCCCACCGUUCUUGCAAGCUCGGUGUGAGGCAGAGGAUGGGGCCCCCAGUGUGGAUGGUGGCGCUUGGAGCGUUUGCUGGCCUGGGGACAUGCCUCAGGUGGUUGUGUGAAAGGGACGUGAUUCCUAAUUGAGAAGGUGAAGAAAGGCC
This is a long non-coding RNA of Equus caballus (horse), 17653 nucleotides long. Lineage: Eukaryota; Metazoa; Chordata; Mammalia; Perissodactyla; Equidae. The record is from Ensembl.